AGAUAGGGUUUCACUAUGUAGCCCAGGGUGACCCGGGUCUCGCUAUGUAGACCAAGCUGGCCUCAAGCUCACAGGGAUUAGUCUACCUCUGACUUUGAGUAGUGAGAUCAAGGGCAACUCCUGCCUAAGUGUUUCUUGUAGCAGGUUCAGAGUUUCUAAUCUUACAUUUCAGAUGUUGAUCCAUUUUGAGAUGAUGUUUAUACAAGAGGAGAGAUAGAAGUCCAAGAAUGAUAUCUGGAAAUUGUCCUUUCUCCAAGGUCAGGCUAUCACCGGUGAGAAGGAAGUCUGUGGUUUCCACCCAAGUCUCCUGACCUAUCAGGACUGAAUUCAUGCAGCGGAAACAGAACUGUGCUUCUGUGAACUACACAAGUGACUUCCAUGUAUAAUAUUUGCUUUGGGCCUGAGGAUACAGUGAGGGUUGGAAAGUGAAAGAUCCAAUAAAUCACAUUCUUGUGUUUUCCCUG
Cricetulus griseus (Chinese hamster) is the source of this 464-nucleotide non-coding RNA. NCBI's taxonomy places the organism in Eukaryota, Metazoa, Chordata, Mammalia, Rodentia, Cricetidae. The record is from RefSeq and is a predicted model, not a curated record.